CGGCCCAGACUCCUACGGGAGGCAGCAGUAGGGAAUCUUCCGCAAUGGACGAAAGUCUGACGGAGCAACGCCGCGUGAGUGAUGAAGGCUUUCGGGUCGUAAAACUCUGUUGUUAGGGAAGAACAAGUGCUAGUUGAAUAAGCUGGCACCUUGACGGUACCUAACCAGAAAGCCACGGCUAACUACGUGCCAGCAGCCGCGGUAA
Molecule: ribosomal RNA, 205 nt
Filed under: Bacillus cereus
Lineage: Bacteria; Bacillati; Bacillota; Bacilli; Caryophanales; Bacillaceae
Description: partial 16S ribosomal RNA
Rfam family: Bacterial small subunit ribosomal RNA
Source: RNAcentral